GGAGAGAUGGCUCAGUGGUUAAGAGCACUGGCUGCUCUCCCAGAGGACCUGAGUUCAAAUCCCAGCACCCCA
RNAcentral lists this transfer RNA (72 nucleotides) under Rattus norvegicus (Norway rat). It matches the Rfam family "tRNA". Rfam says of the family: Transfer RNA (tRNA) molecules are approximately 80 nucleotides in length. Their secondary structure includes four short double-helical elements and three loops (D, anti-codon, and T loops). The record is from Rfam by way of RNAcentral. Lineage: Eukaryota; Metazoa; Chordata; Mammalia; Rodentia; Muridae.